AUUGAACGCUGGCGGCAGGCCUAACACAUGCCAGUCGAACGGUAACAGGAAGAAGCUUGCUUCUUUGCUGACGAGUGGCGGACGGGUGAGUAAUGUCUGGGAAACUGCCUGAUGGAGGGGGAUAACUACUGGAAACGGUAGCUAAUACCGCAUAACGUCGCAAGACCAAAGAGGGGGACCUUCGGGCCUCUUGCCAUCGGAUGUGCCCAGAUGGGAUUAGCUAGUAGGUGGGGUAACGGCUCACCUAGGCGACGAUCCCUAGCUGGUCUGAGAGGAUGACCAGCCACACUGGAACUGAGACACGGUCCAGACUCCUACGGGAGGCAGCAGUGGGGAAUAUUGCACAAUGGGCGCAAGCCUGAUGCAGCCAUGCCGCGUGUAUGAAGAAGGCCUUCGGGUUGUAAAGUACUUUCAGCGGGGAGGAAGGGAGUAAAGUUAAUACCUUUGCUCAUGGACGUUACCCGCAGAAGAAGCACCGGCUAACUCCGU
RNAcentral lists this ribosomal RNA (489 nucleotides) under uncultured bacterium. RNAcentral's name for it is "partial 16S ribosomal RNA". It matches the Rfam family "Bacterial small subunit ribosomal RNA", at positions 30 to 506 of the family's 1533-position model. The record is from RNAcentral.